GAUGAACGCUGGCGGCGUGCCUAAUACAUGCAAGUCGAGCGAACAGACGAGGUGCUUGCUCCUCUGACGUUAGCGGUGGACGGGUGAGUAACACGUGGAUAACCUACCUAUAAGACUGGGAUAACUUCGGGAAACCGGAGCUAAUACCGGAUAAUCUAUUGAACCGCAUGGUUCAAUAGUGAAAGACGGUUUUGCUGUCACUUAUAGAUGGAUCCGCGCCGCAUUAGCUAGUUGGUAAGGUAACGGCUUACAAAGCUACGAAGUGUAGCCUACCCGGAAGGGGGAUCGGCCACACUGGGACUGAGACACGGUCGAGACGGCUACGGGAGGCGGCAGUAGGGAAUCUACCGAAAUGAGCGAAAGCCUGAAGGAGCAACGCCGCAUGAGUGAUGAAGGCCUACGGAGCGUAGAACGAUGUAAUUAGGGAAGAACAAAUGUGUAAGUAACAAUGAACGUCUUGACGGUACCUAGUCAAGAAGCAACGGCUAAAUACGUG
This 496-nucleotide ribosomal RNA is filed under the name uncultured bacterium. RNAcentral describes it as "partial 16S ribosomal RNA". It matches the Rfam family "Bacterial small subunit ribosomal RNA", at positions 28 to 507 of the family's 1533-position model. The record is from RNAcentral.